This is a long non-coding RNA of Lagenorhynchus albirostris (white-beaked dolphin), 753 nucleotides long. RefSeq lists it as uncharacterized. Lineage: Eukaryota; Metazoa; Chordata; Mammalia; Artiodactyla; Delphinidae. The record is from RefSeq and is a predicted model, not a curated record. The transcript has 3 exons.
ACAGCACAGGUGGGAUGCGAACCUAUAUCCGGUUCCGAGUCGCUCGUGUGAGUUUACGUCACGCAGCUUCGCUUGGACUGGCGAUUCGAGCCCUCGCAGGGCCGGCCACCACCUGAGCGGAGAGGGGUUGGGCUGAAUCGCCAAAAGUUCCCUUUUUUCCGUGCCGGGAAAGCUUUGAAAUUCUUAUUUUCAGGUAAACGAUUUUGACGGCUCCCGGAGAAGGACGGAAGCCAGACCCAGUGUGGGACUUCCGGCUUGUUACGGGAGAGCCCCUGGGGCGGGACGGGGAGGGCAACUUUUCCCCCCGAGCCCGGGGAGGCGGCGGUGGCAGAGCCGAGGCAGAAGCCGUCGCUCUUCGAUUUUUCCUCUUUGGAGUUUAUUCAUCUGCUCAGUCUGUCCUGUGGGGCCCACGUCUUCGGAAGUCCUGGUCGGAGUGGGAGGAGCGCCGGGGAGAAGACACACGGCCCUGCCCAGGGAAGAGUUUAUCCAGGAGAAAGAGGAAAGAGGGAGAGCUGAAAUGGACAAGACAGAGAAGAUGCUCCAUGGAGAAAAUUCUGGGAAGAGGUAGGAGCAGUUGGGUCCUUGGCAAGUAGAAGGAACUCUUCUUCCUCAGAGACAGGAGGGAAGGAAAAGGGAUCCCAUCCAGGUUCCCACAUCGCAUUUAGUUCACAUACUGUUUUGCAACCUGCUUGUUUUACUCAACAUUAUGUGUGAAUACCUUUCAAUGAUGCUAAACGUUCUUCUACACCAUCA